Molecule: unclassified non-coding RNA, 203 nt
Filed under: uncultured fungus
Lineage: Eukaryota; Fungi
Description: sequence contains ITS1
Source: RNAcentral
UUGAUUCAAUUUUUGUUUGUACUCAGAUUACACCGUGAGCAGGGUUUAAAUGGUCCUCUGGCGGGCGCUCUCCAGCGUGGGCCGGCGGCGCGUGGGCGCCCGGCCCGCCAAAGCAACAGAGAUAAGUUCACAAAGGGUGGGAGUAGGCGCCCAGAGGGCACCGGUACUCGGUAAUGAUCCUUCCGCAGGUUCACCUACGGAAA